This 497-nucleotide ribosomal RNA is filed under the name uncultured Glomeromycotina. RNAcentral's name for it is "partial small subunit ribosomal RNA". It matches the Rfam family "Eukaryotic small subunit ribosomal RNA", at positions 591 to 1092 of the family's 1831-position model. Lineage: Eukaryota; Fungi; Glomeromycota. The record is from RNAcentral.
CCAAUAGCGUAUAUUAAAGUUGCUGCAGUUAAAAAGCUCGUAGUUGAAUUUCGGGAUCAAUUUACUGGUCGUGCCUAUGGUACGUACUGGUAUUGUUGGUUUCUCCUUUCUGAGGAGCCGCGAUGUCAUUAACUUGGUGUCGCGGGGAAUCAGGACUGUUACUUUGAAAAAAUUAGAGUGUUUAAAGCAGGCUAACGCUUGAAUACAUUAGCAUGGAAUAAUGAAAUAGGACGUUUGAUCCUAUUUUGUUGGUUUCUAGGAUCUACGUAAUGAUUAAUAGGGAUAGUUGGGGGCAUUAAUAUUCAAUUGUCAGAGGUGAAAUUCUUGGAUUUAUUGAAGACUAACUACUGCGAAAGCAUUUGCCAAGGAUGUUUUCAUUAAUCAAGAACGAAAGUUAGGGGAUCGAAGACGAUCAGAUACCGUCGUAGUCUUAACCAUAAACUAUGCCGACUAGGGAUCGGAUGAUAAAUUUUUAAUAAAUCAUUCGGCGCCUUACG